AAAUUUAGUAGCUGAUUUGGACAUCGUUGAGUUCCAAUUAUAGUUAGAUUGGAUUAAAACCAACUGGUUCCUUAGUAGGAGACAAAAUGAUUACCAAUGGACGGUUUUUAUAGAGGUGAUAACUGGGUGUGAAGGGCUAUAAAUAGUAGGGAAAUGAAUUCCUGGGGGAAUUAUUCUCAACCCUAUUUUGUUCUUUCUAUUAUCUUCUUCAGUUACUCUAAAGAAGAAGAAGAUAAGAGAGCUCUACAUAGAGUAAUAUUCGUGAAGAUUGAGUUAAG
Molecule: long non-coding RNA, 278 nt
Filed under: Gossypium barbadense (sea-island cotton)
Lineage: Eukaryota; Viridiplantae; Streptophyta; Magnoliopsida; Malvales; Malvaceae
Description: long non-coding RNA (GBAR_LNC017244)
Source: RNAcentral